Malurus melanocephalus (red-backed fairy wren) is the source of this 709-nucleotide long non-coding RNA. RefSeq lists it as uncharacterized. The record is from RefSeq and is a predicted model, not a curated record. The transcript is spliced from 6 exons. NCBI's taxonomy places the organism in Eukaryota, Metazoa, Chordata, Aves, Passeriformes, Maluridae.
CUACAGUUCCCAUGAGCCUCURCGGCCCCCUUUCCCUCCCGCGGUCACCGGGGCAGCAUGGCGGCGGAGCUUUGUGUGGGCACAACACCGUGUCAAGAAGGGGUAAAAACACUACCCUGGCUGGGAASCUGAUUUAUCUGCUGGACUGACAGUGCACCUGCACAAUAGAGGAAAUGGUCCUGCAGAAUCCUGGGGCUGCUGUUGCCCAAAGGUGGCUUUGGCAUGAGGGCAGCUGCUACUCUGGGCUUUGGGCUGAAGGUCAAUAACAACUUCUGACAGGCUGCCCGGCAGAGCUGGUGACAGGGAGCGUCAUCACCAAUCAAAGCUGCUCUAGAAGCAGCAGAAGGACGAUUGUUCUGGACUGAAUGUCAAAAAAGACCACUGAUUGUCAUUCGAAAUGAUGUGAAAUGGCCACUUKUGUGUAGCCACAGGCUCCUCCUCACUGCUCAGUGGGUGCUGCAGCCACAGCAUGGGAUCUGAUCUGCAGGUGGCUGGAGAAAAGGUGGUUCCCUGCUUUCUUCUGUUCCAGAAUAAAAUAAAUUGUGGAAGAUCUUACUAGUUGAAAUUGGUUUUUAUUUGGUUAUUUUUGUAAAGGUUGGAGUCCAUGCUUUUAAAGGCGUUUUCCAAUAAAGGGAUUUCCAGUUGUAAUGAUUCUGAUUCUUCAAGGAAAGAAAUGGUUUUGUGCAGGUAGGAAGGAUUUUGGAUCAAA